This 293-nucleotide ribosomal RNA is filed under the name uncultured prokaryote. RNAcentral describes it as "partial 16S ribosomal RNA". It matches the Rfam family "Archaeal small subunit ribosomal RNA", at positions 455 to 747 of the family's 1478-position model. The record is from RNAcentral.
GUGCCAGCAGCCGCGGUAAUACCGGCAGCCCAAGUGAUGGCCGAUAUUAUUGGGCCUAAAGCGUCCGUAGCUGGCCGGACAAGUCCGUUGGGAAAUCUGCUCGCUCAACGAGCAGGCGUCCAGCGGAAACUGUUCGGCUUGCGACCGGAAGACCUGAGGGGUACGUCCGGGGUAGGAGUGAAAUCCUGUAAUCCUGGACGGACCACCGGUGGCGAAAGCGCCUCAGGAGAACGGAUCCGACAGUGAGCGACGAAAGCUAGGGUCUCGAACAGGAUUAGAAACCCCGGUAGUCC